UAUACGCCCUUCGGGGGAAAGAUUUAUCGGUGAAGGAUUAGCCCGCGUAAGAUUAGAUAGUUGGUGGGGUAAUGGCCUACCAAGUCUACGAUCUUUAGCUGGUUUUAGAGGAUGAUCAGCAACACUGGGACUGAGACACGGCCCAGACUCCUACGGGAGGCAGCAGUGGGGAAUCUUAGACAAUGGGCGAAAGCCUGAUCUAGCCAUGCCGCGUGAGUGAUGAAGGUCUUAGGAUCGUAAAGCUCUUUCGCUAGGGAUGAUAAUGACAGUACCUAGUAAAGAAGCCCCGGCUAACUCCGUGCCAGCAGCCGCGGUAAUACGGAGGGGGCUAGCGUUGUUCGGAAUUACUGGGCGUAAAGCGUACGUAGGCGGAUCAGAAAGUAUGGGGUGAAAUCCCAGGGCUUAACCCUGGAACUGCCUCAUAAACUCCUGGUCUUGAGUUCGAGAGAGGUGAGUGGAAUUCCAAGUGUAGAGGUGAAAUUCGUAGAUAUUUGGAGGAACACCAGUGGCGAAGGCGGCUCACUGGCUCGAUACUGACGCUGAGGUACGAAAGUGUGGGGAGCAAACAGGAUUAGAUACCCUGGUAGUCCACACCGA
RNAcentral lists this ribosomal RNA (597 nucleotides) under uncultured bacterium. RNAcentral's name for it is "bacterial SSU rRNA". It matches the Rfam family "Bacterial small subunit ribosomal RNA", at positions 172 to 803 of the family's 1533-position model. The record is from RNAcentral.